Molecule: ribosomal RNA, 464 nt
Filed under: uncultured bacterium
Lineage: Bacteria
Description: SSU rRNA
Rfam family: Bacterial small subunit ribosomal RNA
Source: RNAcentral
AGGACGAACGCUUGCGGCGUGCCUAAGAAAUGCAAGUCGAACGAGGGCUUCGGCCCUAGUGGCGAACGGUCGCGUAACACGUGGGCAACCUGCCCUGAAGCGGGGGACAACAGUCCGAAAGGACUGCUAAUACCGCAUGUGGAUCCGGACGGCAUCGUCUGUAUCUAAAGACUUCGGUCACUUCAGGAUGGGCCCGCGGCCUAUCAGCUAGUUGGUGGGGUAACGGCCUACCAAGGCUUCGACGGGUAGCUGGUCUGAGAGGACGGCCAGCCGGAUUGGGACUGAGAUACGGCCCAGACUCCUACGGGGGGCAGCAAUUAGGAAUCUUGCGCAAUGGGGGCAACCCUGACGCAGCGACGCCGCGUGAAGGAGAAAUCCUUCGGGAUGUAAACUUCUUUUAUUUGGAAGAAGAAUGUGACGGUACCAAAUGAAUAAGCCCCGGCUAACUACGCGCCAGCAGCCGC